Molecule: transfer RNA, 72 nt
Filed under: Camelus ferus (Wild Bactrian camel)
Lineage: Eukaryota; Metazoa; Chordata; Mammalia; Artiodactyla; Camelidae
Rfam family: tRNA
About the family: Transfer RNA (tRNA) molecules are approximately 80 nucleotides in length. Their secondary structure includes four short double-helical elements and three loops (D, anti-codon, and T loops). Further hydrogen bonds mediate the characteristic L-shaped molecular structure. tRNAs have two regions of fundamental functional importance: the anti-codon, which is responsible for specific mRNA codon recognition, and the 3' end, to which the tRNAs corresponding amino acid is attached (by aminoacyl-tRNA synthetases). tRNAs cope with the degeneracy of the genetic code in two manners: having more than one tRNA (with a specific anti-codon) for a particular amino acid; and 'wobble' base-pairing, i.e. permitting non-standard base-pairing at the 3rd anti-codon position.
Source: Rfam by way of RNAcentral
GACGGUCUAGCUUACGGGUAGAGCGCAUGCUUAGCAUACAUGAGGUCCUGGGUUCAAUCCCCAGUGCCUCCA